Molecule: long non-coding RNA, 1136 nt
Organism: Brienomyrus brachyistius
Lineage: Eukaryota; Metazoa; Chordata; Actinopteri; Osteoglossiformes; Mormyridae
Exons: 3
Source: RefSeq, a predicted model, not a curated record
GAGGUCUGACACGGGGGGGUGGGGGAGGUUCGUAUUUGUGUGAGCGGAGAGAGAAAAACGGGCAGCUCGGAUUAUUUCAAUUCCCAGGAAGCAGAGCACGCCGGCAGAUGUUUCGGGGAGGCGCAAACAACUCAGCUCCGUUUGCUGGUAUUUAAAGGAGAACGCUGUUCAAAGCAGGGUGACAUAAUGGAAAUCAAGGGCCCCAAUCAUCUCGGAUAAGACUCAGAGCGGGUUUUAGAGAGAAGUUUCUAAAGGCCUGCCCGCAACUGACCUGUGCACCACACAGACUUCCUGUAAGCUGGCCACAGAUGACACGCCAGGAUCAGGCUGUCUGAUUGGUCCGCGUUUUCCAAUCGCCUCUACAGCUACUCCAGCCCAUCCAUAUCCACGAUGGACCUGCCUUCCUGUUCUCCUCCACCUCCUCCUCCUCUUUCAAGUGCUUUUGAUGUUAUAUGAGCCCGAAUACAGCUGGCUCAGUCCUCUCAGGACCGGAAGCACAGAAACGUCCAGGAGUGUAUAGGCGUUCCCCCCCGCCCGCCCCAACAGAACUUCAAACUCAAGGAACUCUAGAAACUUCUUUUGCAUUUCCAACGGGGAAUUUUGAGACUGUGCUUUGAGGGAAUACGUCUAGGGACUUUAACGAAUAAAGCAGAAGCUAAACGUCUACUAUGUGCACAUAAAUGGUUGGAAAACUCUCUAUCUCAUGAGGUUUAUCUGAGAACAUGUCUCACUACGAGAUCUCAGUGAUAUCGCAGAGUGGUUCGCUAACCCGGGGGAGUGAAUGUAGCUCGUUUUAAGAUGCCUUGUUCUUUCACAGAUUCUUUUCCUCUUGAUCCAGUCGUGGCGCGCUGACUAAAUCCUCACUGCUUCCCCAAAUCCGCAUUGUGCCAAUUGCAUCCAGAGUUCCGUCGGUCUCGCUCGGAAAUGGGCUGUGGUCAUGUGACCAGCCAGACAGGUCAAGGGGCUUUCUGCGAAAGUCCAUCCAUCCGGCUAUGUGCCAUCGUAACUUACCCAUAAAAAGUCUCUGUAAAAAAAAAGAAAAAUGAUAAAACGCCGAUGACAUGUGCUCUUGUUUUUUUCCCGGAGCGAAAAAUACUGCCUGAAAAAAAUAAUAAUAAAAAAAUAAAGCACCGAAA